GAUGAACGCUGGCGGCGUGCCUAAUACAUGCAAGUCGAGCGAACAGAUGAGGAGCUUGCUCCUCUGACGUUAGCGGCGGACGGGUGAGUAACACGUGGAUAACCUACCUAUAAGACUGGGAUAACUUCGGGAAACCGGAGCUAAUACCGGAUAAUAUAUUGAACCGCAUGGUUCAAUAGUGAAAGACGGUUUUGCUGUCACUUAUAGAUGGAUCCGCGCCGCAUUAGCUAGUUGGUAAGGUAACGGCUUACCAAGGCGACGAUGCGUAGCCGACCUGAGCGGGUGAUCGGCCACACUGGAACUGAGACACGGUCCAGACUCCUACGGGAGGCAGCAGUAGGGAAUCUUCCGCAAUGGGCGAAAGCCUGACGGAGCAACGCCGCGUGAGUGAUGAAGGUCUUCGGAUCGUAAAACUCUGUUAUUAGGGAAGAACAAAUGUGUAAGUAACUAUGCACGUCUUGACGGUACCUAAUCAGAAAGCCACGGCUAACUACGUG
RNAcentral lists this ribosomal RNA (497 nucleotides) under uncultured bacterium. RNAcentral describes it as "partial 16S ribosomal RNA". It matches the Rfam family "Bacterial small subunit ribosomal RNA", at positions 28 to 507 of the family's 1533-position model. The record is from RNAcentral.